GAUGAACGCUGGCGGCGUGCCUAAUACAUGCAAGUCGAGCGAACGGACGAGACGCUUGCUUCUCUGAUGUUAGCGGCGGACGGGUGAGUAACACGUGGAUAACCUACCUCUUAGACUGGAAUCACUUCGGGAAACCGGAGCUCAUACCGGAUACUAUUUUGAACCGGAUGGUUCAAAAGUGAAAGACGGUUUUGCUGUCACUUAUAGAUGGAUCCGCGCUGCAUUAGCUAGUUGGUACGGUAACGGCUUACCAAGGCAACGAUGCAUAGCCGACCUGAGAGGGUGAUCGGCCACACUGGAACUGAGACACGGACCAUAGUCCUACGAGAGGCAGCAGUAGGGAAUCGUCCGCAAUGGGCGAAAGCCUGACAGAGCAACGCCGCGUGAGUGAUGGAGGUCUUCGGAUCGUAAAACUCUGUUAUUAGUGAAGAACAUAUGUGUAAGUAACUGUGCACAUCGUGACGGUACCUAAUCAGAAAGCCACGGCUAACUACGUG
This 497-nucleotide ribosomal RNA is filed under the name uncultured bacterium. RNAcentral's name for it is "partial 16S ribosomal RNA". It matches the Rfam family "Bacterial small subunit ribosomal RNA", at positions 28 to 507 of the family's 1533-position model. The record is from RNAcentral.